This 613-nucleotide ribosomal RNA is filed under the name uncultured Vannella. Its description in RNAcentral is "partial Bacterial large subunit ribosomal RNA". It matches the Rfam family "Bacterial large subunit ribosomal RNA", at positions 488 to 1110 of the family's 2925-position model. The record is from RNAcentral. Lineage: Eukaryota; Discosea; Flabellinia; Vannellidae.
UAGUGAACAAGUACCGUGAGGGAAAGGCGAAAAGAACCCCGGGAGGGGAGUGAAAUAGAUCCUGAAACCGCAUGCAUACAAAAAGUCGGAGCCGCAAGGUGACGGCGUACCUUUUGUAUAAUGGGUCAGCGACUUACAUUCAGUGGCGAGGUUAACCGAAUAGGGAAGCCGUAGAGAAAUCGAGUCCGAAUAGGGCGAAUAGUCGCUGGGUGUAGACCCGAAACCAAGUGAUCUAUCCAUGGCCAGGAUGAAGGUACCGUAACAGGUGCUGGAGGUCCGAACCGACUAGUGUUGCAAAACUAGCGGAUGAGCUGUGGAUAGGGGUGAAAGGCUAAACAAACUUGGAAAUAGCUGGUUCUCUCCGAAAACUAUUUAGGUAGUGCCUCAAGUAUUACCUGCGGGGGUAGAGCACUGUUUAGGUUAGGGGGUCAUGGCGACUUACCAAACCUUAGCAAACUCCGAAUACCGCAGAGUACAGCUUGGGAGACAGAGCACCGGGUGCUAACGUCCGGACUCAAGAGGGAAACAACCCAGACCGCCAGCUAAGGUCCCAAAAUAUUGCUAAGUGGGAAACGAUGUGGGAAGGCAUAGACAGCUAGGAGGUUGGCUUAGA